Long non-coding RNA from Artibeus jamaicensis (Jamaican fruit-eating bat), 311 nucleotides. RefSeq lists it as uncharacterized. The record is from RefSeq and is a predicted model, not a curated record. Lineage: Eukaryota; Metazoa; Chordata; Mammalia; Chiroptera; Phyllostomidae. The transcript is spliced from 3 exons.
CCCAAACGGCGAAGACCUGGAUUUACAGCCUUCCCUGAUUUGGCCAGCCUCUCGCCAGUGAGAGGUGUCCCAAAGGGAAACUGAGAGUCUGAAUAUGCAAGUCAGAAAUGGCCAGCGCACAGCCAGUCUGGAACUCUGGAAGGAGACAGCCCCACAUGGCUUCCAUCCUGCAACCUAGCAGCUGCAGACGAAGAGGAAUGAAACUGUGGCAGACUUAAAGGGCCAGAGUGCAAAGCAACAAUCACAGAGCAGAAGAUGCUGAAGGUGUUCAGGAUGAAGAAAAAGGUCCUUGCAAGAGGUGUUUUUCUUAA